GGUGAUUCAUAGUAACCGAACGGAUCGCAUUAUAAUUAUCAUUAUUUGAUGAUUGGCGAUAGAUCAUUCAAGUUUCUGACCUAUCAGCUUUCGACGGUAGUGUAUUGGACUACCGUGGCAGUGACGGGUAACGGGGAAUUAGGGUUCGAUUCCGGAGAGGGAGCCUGAGAAACGGCUACCACAUCUAAGGAAGGCAGCAGGCGCGCAAAUUACCCAAUCCUGACUCAGGGAGGUAGUGACAAGAAAUAACAACACUGGAAAUUUGAUUUCUAGUGAUUGGAAUGAUGGGAAUCCAAACCCCUUUCAGAGUAACAAUUGGAGGGCAAGUCUGGUGCCAGCAGCCGCGGUAAUUCCAGCUCCAAUAGCGUAUAUUAAAGUUGUUGCAGUUAAAAAGCUCGUAGUUGGAUGUCUGUUGGAAGCAAUCAUCAGUCCGCCCUAUUUGAUUAGGGUGUGAAUAUGAUGAAUUCCGGCAUAAUUGUCUCCCUAUUGUUAAUAUUCUGAUUGUUAGAUUCAUUUCUAACAAUAAUACGAUUAUUAAUAAUAAGGGGGAAAUGUUACUUUGAGAAAAUUAGAGUGUUUGAAGCAGGCUUUUGUUGCCUUGAAUACUGCAGCAUGGAAUAACAAUAUAGGAUUUCGGUUCUAUUUUGUUGGUUCUUUUUUUAGGACUGAAAUAAUGAUUAAUAGGGACAGUUGGGGGCAUUCGUAUUUAACUGUCAGAGGUGAAAUUCUUAGAUUUGUUAAAGACGAACUACUGCGAAAGCAUUUGCCAAAGAUGUUUUCAUUAAUCAAGAACGAAAGUUAGGGGCUCGAAGACGAUCAGAUACCGUCGUAGUCUUAACCAUAAACUAUGCCGACUAGAGAUAGGAAAUUGUCAUUUUACUUGACUUCUCCUGCACCUUAUGAGAAAUC
RNAcentral lists this ribosomal RNA (909 nucleotides) under Sarcocystis miescheriana. RNAcentral describes it as "SSU rRNA". It matches the Rfam family "Eukaryotic small subunit ribosomal RNA", at positions 245 to 1099 of the family's 1831-position model. Lineage: Eukaryota; Apicomplexa; Conoidasida; Eucoccidiorida; Sarcocystidae. The record is from RNAcentral.